CAGCUCCCUAAAAACCUGUUGCCUAUCACCCUCUUGGGCAAAGCAUGUGAGCCAUUUCCUCCUUUCAGUGGUCCAUGAAAGUACAUCUAUAGUACGUAGAUAAUAAAGUCAACAAAAGGUGGCCACCAUUUUUAUAGAACUAUAGAUGUUAUAGGCUGGGUGUGACAAGGAAUGGCUGGGAGGGGAAGGGCCAGGCAAGGCACCCCUUGAUGUGACAUAUAGACAUGCUA
This is a non-coding RNA of Pseudonaja textilis, 230 nucleotides long. The record is from RefSeq and is a predicted model, not a curated record. NCBI's taxonomy places the organism in Eukaryota, Metazoa, Chordata, Lepidosauria, Squamata, Elapidae.